This 3727-nucleotide long non-coding RNA is filed under the name Salmo salar (Atlantic salmon). Its description in RNAcentral is "lncRNA (ENSSSAG00000087841.1)". The record is from RNAcentral. Lineage: Eukaryota; Metazoa; Chordata; Actinopteri; Salmoniformes; Salmonidae.
UGGAUGCCGACUGCCGUUAAACCUCAUCGAAGAAGACGGAAAGGAAGAGGAAAAGAGAGGAUCAACUCGGCGGCAAAUCUGUCUCCCCCAGCAGGUCGCGGUUUUUUUUCGUUGUUUCGCCCACCAAGCAAGUCGUUUUGUAUGUAGGUCAAUGACAAUGUCGAAUUUGGUCAACUAAAAUAUGAAUGCUUUAUAUGCUACGUGAGAUUAAUUUGAUCGAAUAGAAGUUUCGUAAUGCUUUAAUUGUUAUGAGUGUACAGAUAUAAGUAGGACACGUGACAUCCCGGCAACUUUGAGAAACAACACUUUUUUAUUGGAGUUGCCUCGAGAUGACAUGCAUAUUCAUGUGAUGAGGCAGUAGCAUAGCAUAGAAAGGAUAGGCGGGAACUAGACAGCCCCUUUGUGGACAACAACUUCCAUUUUUAGGGCAGAGAGACAUGUAGUAUCUUGUCAGUAUAUCCAUUAUCUUUGGCUAAAUACAAACGACAUAAUCCCGUGUUGAAAUGGGUUGAGAUUACGUCAACUAAGAAACAAUAUAUUUUUUUAGCCACACCUAUCAGUCAUUGAGAUAUAUAUGAAUAAUUAUAUGUUCGUGGAUUUCAUUGUUUUUUUUUAGCUCGCAGCCCUGAUGGCUGGUCUCAGACAGUCCCGCAGUUGUAGAAGCUGGAGGUGGAGAUCCUGGGCUGGCAUGGUUACACGUGGUCUGCGGUUGUGAGGCCGGUUGGACGUACUGCCAAACUCUCUAAAACGACGAUGGAGGUGGCUUAUGCCAUGACUCUGAGCAUGUCUCCGGCUGCGGUGUGCCAGUGCUUUACGCUGGUGUCACUGUGCACAUCCAUCGCCGACCCAAACUGGAUCCAAGUCAUCAACAACACUGACCCCGGAGGCAAACAGCUCAUCUAUGGUGUGGCUUUCAUACUGCAUGCGCCCCAGAACCUCACUGACACAGGUCCCCUGGGUGGCAUAAAUGGCUGGGGGGUGUGGCUGCUCUAUGCCCUGGCGGCUCUGUGCUACAGUGCUGUCCUGCUCUCCAGCUCCUCCUUCCUAUUGGACUUCCUGGGGACUGGGAUGUCCCACCCUCGACUGGUGGUGUUACUCCACAUCUCCACAGUGGUUCUCCUCCUGUCUGUUCUGGGAGUUUGUGGGGCCUGCCUGUACAUCAUCCACUGCAACCUUCAGGAGGGCAAGUUUGGGCCACUGUGGGAAUGGGUAGGGGGCUGGACCUGGCCUGGGUCUGGCUCCAGGAGCCAGGGAGGGGCGGCGGGGAUGAAGCCUUACCCAGGGGAGAGCUUCUACAUCACCAUGCUGGGCCUGCUCUUCUCCUGCCUGGCCGGUGUGAGCAGCCUGGGGGACCCCACCUCCACCCAGAGGGACUACACAGCUGUGGUGGAGUGGGACGACAGUGACACAGAGCCCCUUACCCCCAGGGAGCAGGGAGUGGGACAGUCUGAUGAAGAGGAGGGGGUAGGAGACGUGUUGCCUGAACUGACUCAGGGGGAGAACAGAAGUGUCCAGUCCAGUUACUCUCAUUCCCACUCAUCUGCUGUAUGUGUUGGUGUCCGUCAUCUCUGCCUCCUAUAGGUUAAUUUCCAACCAACAUCAUCAGGAAAUGGUCUUCAUCCAAAACCACAAGAUGACCACACAUGACCAGAACUGUCCCACAUCUUUCCCGAAGUCUUUCUGAAUGCAUAGGUAGGUUUUAGGGUUAGCCAGGCAGGACUCGCUGUGAACAUGAUGUCCCCUCUGUCAGCAAGCAAUGACUUCAGCAGACAAACCACUCCUUGGUAAAUAUAAAUAAUCUAAAGAUAUGGUUGAAUAUAGCCAAUAUCUAUCCUAUUAGUAGAUUGGCACAAGGUUGGUUUACACCUGGGUUGCACUGUUCCAAUCAAAGCUUACCCCCCCCUCUCUUUUCCUUUCCCCAAAGCUUCCUCUACUGUCACGACUCCACUCCCGUCUCCCAUUGGAUGAAAACCAUUGCCAUAGUAACCUUGACAAAUUGUUGAUGUUGCCAGUGAAUUUGUGAAUGAGAGAUAAGAAAGGAGAGAAGCAGGGGAGAGUCAAAGAGCCUAUUUUAGUGGUGGUGUUGCGCCGAUGGGUAACUGAGUGUGUGUGUGUGAGUCUGAGCCUGUAUGUACAGUCUGAGCCUGUAGGUACAAUUGGAAGUAUACAUACACUUAGGUUGGAAUCAUUAAAACUUGUUUUUAAACCACUCCACAAAUUUCUUGUUAACAAGCUAUAGUUUUAGCAAGUUGGUUAGAACAUCUACUUUGUGCAUGAUACAAGUAAUUUUUCCAACAAUUGUUUACAGACAGAUUAUUUCACUUAUAAUUCACUGUAUCACAAUUCCAGUGGGUCAGAAGUGUAUAUACACUAAGUUGACUGUGCCUUUAAACAGCUUGGAAAAUUCCAGAAAAUUAUGUAAUGGCUUUAGAAGCUUCUGAUGAGCUUAUUGACAUCAUUUGAGUCAAUUGAAGGUGUACCUGUGGAUGUAUUUCAAGGCCUACCUUCAAACUCAGUGCCUCUGCUUGACAUCAUGGAAAAUCCAAAGAAAUCAGCCAAGACCUCAGGAAAAAAAUUGGAGACCUCCACAAGUCUGGUUCAAGAUUGGGAGCAAUUUCCAAACGCCUGAAGGUACCACAUUCAUCUGUACAAACAGUAGUACGCAAGUAUAAACACCAUGGGAACACGCAGCAGUCAUACCACUCAGGAAGAAGACGCGUUCUGUCUCCUAGAGAUCACCGUGCUUUGGUGCGAAAAGUGCAAAUCAAUCCGAGAACAACAGCAAAGGACCUUGUGAAGAUGCUGGAGGAAACAGGUACAAAAGUAUCUAUAUCCCCAAUAAAACGAGUCCUAUAUCGACAUAACCUGAAAGGCCGCUCAGCAAGGAAGAAGCCACUGCUCCAAAGCCCCAAUAAAAAAGUCAGACUACGGUUUGCAGCUGCACAUGGGGACAAAGAUCGUACUUUUUGGAGAAAUGUCCUCUGGUCUGAUGAAUCAAAAAUAGAACUUUGGCCAUAAUGACCAUCGUUAUGUUUGGAGGAAAAAGGGGGAGGCUUGCAAGCCGAAGAACCCAACCGUGAAGCACGGGAGUGGCAGCAUCAUGUUGUGGGGGUGCUUUGCUGUAGGAGGGACUGGUGCACUUCACAAAAUAGAUGGCAUCAUGAGGGAGGAAAAUGAUGUGGAUAUAUUGAAGCAACAUAUCAAGACAUCAGUCAGGAAGUUAAAGCUUGGUCGCAAAUGGGUCUUACAAAUGGACAAUGACCCCAAGCAUUCUUCCAAAGUUGUGGCAAAAUGGCUUAAGGACAACAAAGUCAAGGUAUUGGAGUGGCCAUCACAAAGCCCUGAUCUCAAUCCUAUAGAAAAUAUGUGGGCAGAACUGAAAAAGGGUGUGUGAGCAAGGAGGCCUACAAACCUGACUCAGUUACACCAGCUCUUGUCAGGAGCAAUGGGCCAAAAUUGACCCAACUUAUUGUGGAAUGCUUGUGGAAGGCUACCCAAAAUGUUUGACCCAAGUUAAACAAUUUAAAGGCAAUGCUACCAAAUACUAAUUGAGUAUAUGUAAACUUCUGACCAACUGGGAAUGUGAUGAAAGAAAUAAAAGCUGAAAUAAAUCAUUCUCUCUACUAUUAUUCUGACAUUUCACGUUCUUAAAAUAAACUGGUGAUUCUAACUGACCUAAGACAGGGAAUCUUUACUCGGAUUAAAUGUCAGGGAUUGUGAAAAACUG